UCUGCUCUGUCUAUCUCUUUCUGCUGCCUUUGUAUCUGGAUACAGAACCCUUGGCUACUUCUCCAGCACCAGGUCUUCCUGUCUCUCCAACAUGUUCCCUGCCAUGAUCAUAAUGAACUAAACCUCUAAAACUGUUAAGCAAACCUCAGUUAAAUGUUUUCUUGUGUAAGAGUUGCUAUGCUCAUGAUGUCUCUUCACAGGAUAAAAUGUCUUAAGGUAAAUAAGUGUUGGUCUCCCCAACUCUCUUCCUCCGGAGUUUCAAGUGGAUGGUUUGGCCUACAUAUAAAUGUUUCUGUUCUAGGGUUAUUGAUUUUAUUUUGACUUGUAAGAUGUAUGAUUUUGAUUUUAUAUCCUAGACUGUAAUUGUAAGGAGUAUAGAGACUGUGGUUUACCAGUGUCCCAUCUCCACCAGGUCCAAUUCCCAGGGACAUGAAUGAAUCAGGUUCAUAUUACAUACAGCUAACUAAGGUCUUGUUUUUGUUUUGAGACAGUGCCUUGUUGUAUAUCGAUGACUGGCCUGCGUCUCACUAUGUAAACCAGGCUAGCUUCAAACUCAAGGACUGUCCUAUUUCGAAAUAUCUCCCUAAUCCUGAGAUGAAAAGUGUCUACUACUAUACCCAAAGUACUAUUUUCUGAAUAAGAUGGUAUUUCCCACAGUUGAGGGAAAAAUCAGCGUCCUAAGGACAUUUUUAAACCACCUUCUGGUGAAAUCUCUUCCCUAGCACACCAACACAACUGGACUGUCCUAAUUAGUUUUCUGUUGCUAUGAUAAAACACUAUGGCCAAGCUAACUUUAAAACACAUUAAUUUGGAAGUUAUGGUUUGAGAGGGUUAGAGUCCAUUGUGGCAGAACAAAGGCAUGGUGACAGAAUCAGCCUACAUCUUGACUCAUGAUUUGGACACAAAGAGAAAACAGUGGGGAGGGCUCCAGAUCUUUUAAAACUCAAAGCCCACCCCAAAUGACAUACUUCCUCCAAGAAAGUUACACUGCCUAAUUCUUUCCAAAUAGUUUCGCCAACUGGGGACCAAGUAUUCAAACAUAUGAGUCUAUGAGGGUCAUUAUCAUUCAAACCACCAUAUGGACCAAAGCUGGUUGGCCUGAGUAACUAGCAAUUACCCUUUUGCUGACUUUAAAAUGUUCAUUACAGUCUCUUAGGAGCUGUGUGUUUUCCAAAGAUUGAUGGGGUAAAUAAAUUUGGGCCGAUUGACAGCUGACAUUUGCGUUUAUAAGUCUUCAGUUAAUAAACAAGCAAGAACAUGCCUCAUAAGCCACAGAUUUCUUUAUGAAGUCAUAAAAAUACUUUACUUUGAAGAAAACUAAUUCUCCAUCUCCCAGAACCUAUCAAAUACCAACAGCUUUUCAGCUAAGAGUGGGACUUCUGAACCUACCUCCUCCUUCCAUGUUGGUGUUUUUGUCUGGUUUGAUCUUGUCCAGGUCUUGUCCAUGCUGUCACAACUGCUAUAAGUUCACAUGUGCAGCUUCUGUGAUGUGUCUGAUGUAGUCAUCUACUACCUCUGGCUCCCAAAGGUGUGGCCAUUAGUAGGUCAGUCACACUGCAGUGGAUGGGCACACACCCAAGAGUGUAUAGGAAGCACAAAUUGGACUCCACAGGUUUAAAGAAAUGAGGAAUCAAAGCGGGAUGAAUAUGACAGUUACUGAAAAACUGGGAGAAAUGGUGUAGUCUUCAAGGCACUGAAGAACAGAGACAUGACUACUACUAGUGCAUUCAGUUUGAACUAAUGGAAAGGAGUUUAUGGAAAAUUGCUUGGAAGCAGGAAGAAGACGAAAAAAAAACAAAACCAAA
This is a non-coding RNA of Rattus norvegicus (Norway rat), 1805 nucleotides long. The record is from RefSeq and is a predicted model, not a curated record. NCBI's taxonomy places the organism in Eukaryota, Metazoa, Chordata, Mammalia, Rodentia, Muridae.